GGAGGUUCGACUCGAGCGAAGCGAGAGAACGUUGCGUCAGCAACGGCCCGCAGGGCGAGUCACGCAGUGGCGAGUCAUCCUCUAUCACCGACCA
This 94-nucleotide small RNA is filed under the name Salmonella enterica. Its description in RNAcentral is "partial RtT sRNA". It matches the Rfam family "RtT RNA", at positions 37 to 130 of the family's 130-position model. From Rfam's summary of the family: This family represents a bacterial cis-regulatory element known as RtT RNA. The exact function of RtT is unknown although it is thought that it may be involved in changing the cellular response in relation to amino acid starvation. Lineage: Bacteria; Pseudomonadati; Pseudomonadota; Gammaproteobacteria; Enterobacterales; Enterobacteriaceae. RNAcentral also lists the same sequence under 1 other name. The record is from RNAcentral.